This is a long non-coding RNA of Eriocheir sinensis (Chinese mitten crab), 846 nucleotides long. RefSeq lists it as uncharacterized. The transcript has 7 exons. Lineage: Eukaryota; Metazoa; Arthropoda; Malacostraca; Decapoda; Varunidae. The record is from RefSeq and is a predicted model, not a curated record.
CAAAAAAAAAGACAGACUGCUUCGGUGUUUGUCUGUCUGUCUGUCAUCGAGGCGUGUUUGUUUCAACAUCCAUUCCCUUGCCUGCCGGAGCUGCACUUCACCGCGAGGACAGAUAAGCGAGCUAAAAUUAACCACGCCGGAGAAAUAAAAAUGUACAGACGUAGCUGGAAACGCUUUGAGAGAGAGAGGGAGUGUGUGUCGUGUGGCGCUACCCGUGUGUUCCCUUCUGUUUUGGACCAGAAGCAUGACCGAGCUAAUACCAAGACCGAGACCGCAGCAAGACUAGAGACCGAGAAUGAAGCCGAGUGUUUAAAGACCAAGCCACUCCCUAAAUCUGUGUUCACGUAAUGAGCCCCAUCUGCUCGCCCCUCGCCCCCCAACGCACCGGGUGAGGUAGAGGAUGAAACAGUCGCAGUGCCAGGGGUUCAUGGAGAGCUUGACCUGCUCCACCUUCUUCAGCUCGUCCAGGAGACCCACGGGUAGAUGCAUGAACUUGUUGCUGUCGAUCUGCCUGCGAGGGGAGACGAGAAGGCUGCAGUGUGAGCUACCGGGUUAAGUCGACCUUCGUGUGACCUCCUUCGGUAUACUCACAGCUCCACGAGGUCCGUCAGACUGUUGAAGGAGUCUUUGUGGAGGAACUUGAGGCGGUUCAUCCCGAGUUCUCUGGCGGGGAAGGACGCGGCAGUCUGUUUAAAGCUGUUUUAUGUAUCCCACCCCACCCCCACCUACCCCUUCCCCACCUCCACAGUCCCACCCCACCCCACCUACCCUUCCCACCCCCACACUUCCACACCUCCUCCCUCUCCCCCACAACCUCCCUCUUCCCCCCCCCACACACACGCACAG